Molecule: ribosomal RNA, 484 nt
Filed under: uncultured bacterium
Lineage: Bacteria
Description: partial 16S ribosomal RNA
Rfam family: Bacterial small subunit ribosomal RNA
Source: RNAcentral
AUUGAACGCUGGCGGAAUGCUUUACACAUGCAAGUCGAACGGCAGCACGGGGGCAACCCUGGUGGCGAGUGGCGAACGGGUGAGUAAUACAUCGGAACGUGCCCGGUCGUGGGGGAUAACGUAGCGAAAGUUACGCUAAUACCGCAUACGAUCUGAGGAUGAAAGCGGGGGACCUUCGGGCCUCGCGCGAUCGGAGCGGCCGAUGUCAGAUUAGGUAGUUGGUGGGGUAAAGGCCUACCAAGCCGACGAUCUGUAGCUGGUCUGAGAGGACGACCAGCCACACUGGGACUGAGACACGGCCCAGGCUCCUACGGGAGGCAGCAGUGGGGAAUUUUGGACAAUGGGCGCAAGCCUGAUCCAGCCAUUCCGCGUGCAGGACGAAGGCCUUCGGGUUGUAAACUGCUUUUGUAUGGAACGAAAAGGCUCUGGCUAAUACCUGGGGCUCAUGACGGUACCGUAAGAAUAAGCACCGGCUAACUACGUG